Molecule: long non-coding RNA, 686 nt
Organism: Ooceraea biroi (clonal raider ant)
Lineage: Eukaryota; Metazoa; Arthropoda; Insecta; Hymenoptera; Formicidae
Source: RefSeq, a predicted model, not a curated record
AACAAAGAAGGGAAAUCUGGGAUACUGGAUCGAUGAAGCUCUGUGGUGAGUCAUAUCUCUCAAUUAAACAGCUAAGGGGGUUUUUUCUGUUGUCAGGAACUCCAAGGGUGGAGCAUAGCGGAGAAGCUAUAGGCCAUCUCCUAGCAGGCUGCGCAGAGGGAUGCAUUUCUGCGUCUACAUGUAUAUAUGCACAACCCCUAUUGGUCUGUUGCGCAGACCAUUUGUGUGGUAUUGAUCCACAAAACCUAUAACGCAAUCCAUUGAGUGUUCUUGCCAGCUCGGAGAACAUCUGGAUCCAUCUUGCGAGUCUAAUAUCCUUUAUUAACCGAAAUCAAGUUCUAAUAUGGCAGAAAAAUAUUAAUAGGUUUAUCAAGUAAGGCAAGUUGCGGAAGAAAAGGCCAUUGUACCUCUAGGGUCUGCCCCUUUGUUACGUCAGGGCAUAGAAAUAUGGUUCAUAUAGACCACACACUUCAGCCUAAGCAGCAAAUGUGCAACCGUCCACUUAAAGGAGAAAUACUAACCCUUGCAAUCAAGAAUCGUUGCUUCUGUCAUGAUAAUACAACACAUUAGAGCACAAAUUACACUAAAAAGUCAGAAUACGUCAAUAUAUACUGACACUAUCACGGGGCUACUGGAGAAAAGAAGAAUAGCUCUCCAAUAAAGGUUGGAAACUUGAUCCCAACCCA